UGGGGAAUCUUGGACAAUGGGGGCAACCCUGAUCCAGCCAUGCCGCGUGAGUGAUGAAGGCCUUAGGGUCGUAAAGCUCUUUCGCCUGUGAAGAUAAUGACGGUAGCAGGUAAAGAAACCCCGGCUAACUCCGUGCCAGCAGCCGCGGUAAUACGGAGGGGACAAGCGUUAUUCGGAUUUAUUGGGCGUAAAGGGCGCGUAGGCGGCUUGAUAAGUCAAAGGUGAAAUCCCUCGGCUCAACCGGGGAACUGCCUUUGAAACUGUCUGGCUAGAGUUCGGGAGAGGGUAGGGGAAUUCCUAGUGUAGCGGUGAAAUUCGUAGAUAUUUGGAGGAACACCAGUGGCGAAGGCGGCUCACUGGCUCGAUACUGACGCUGAGGUGCGAAAGUGUGGGGAGCAAACAGGAUUAGAUACCCUGGUAGUCCACACCGUAAACGAUGAAUGCCAGUCGUCGGGUAGCAUGCUAUUCGGUGACACACCUAACGGAUUAAGCAUUCCGCCUGGGGAGUACGGUCGC
This 516-nucleotide ribosomal RNA is filed under the name uncultured bacterium. Its description in RNAcentral is "bacterial SSU rRNA". It matches the Rfam family "Bacterial small subunit ribosomal RNA", at positions 355 to 889 of the family's 1533-position model. The record is from RNAcentral.